Molecule: ribosomal RNA, 492 nt
Filed under: uncultured bacterium
Lineage: Bacteria
Description: partial 16S ribosomal RNA
Rfam family: Bacterial small subunit ribosomal RNA
Source: RNAcentral
AGUGAACGCUGGCGGUAGGCCUAACACAUGCAAGUCGAACGGCAGCACAGUAAGAGCUUGCUCUUACGGGUGGCGAGUGGCGGACGGGUGAGGAAUACAUCGGAAUCUACUUUUUCGUGGGGGAUAACGUAGGGAAACUUACGCUAAUACCGCAUACGACCUACGGGUGAAAGCAGGGGAUCUUCGGACCUUGCGCGAUUGAAUGAGCCGAUGUCGGAUUAGCUAGUUGGCGGGGUAAAGGCCCACCAAGGCGACGAUCCGGAGCUGGUCUGAGAGGAUGAUCAGCCACACUGGAACUGAGACACGGUCCAGACUCCUACGGGAGGCAGCAGUGGGGAAUAUUGGACAAUGGGCGCAAGCCUGAUCCAGCCAUACCGCGUGGGUGAAGAAGGCCUUCGGGUUGUAAAGCCCUUUUGUCGGGAAAGAAAAGCAGCAGGUUAAUACCCCGCUGUUCUGACGGUACCCAAAGAAUAAGCACCGGCUAACUUCGUG